This 430-nucleotide ribosomal RNA is filed under the name bacterium. Its description in RNAcentral is "partial 16S ribosomal RNA". It matches the Rfam family "Bacterial small subunit ribosomal RNA", at positions 355 to 776 of the family's 1533-position model. The record is from RNAcentral.
UGGGGAAUAUUGGACAAUGGGGGGAACCCUGAUCCAGCCAUGCCGCGUGUGUGAAGAAGGCCUUAUGGUUGUAAAGCACUUUAAGCGAGGAGGAGGCUCUCUUGGUUAAUACCCAAGAUGAGUGGACGUUACUCGCAGAAUAAGCACCGGCUAACUCUGUGCCAGCAGCCGCGGUAAUACAGAGGGUGCGAGCGUUAAUCGGAUUUACUGGGCGUAAAGCGUGCGUAGGCGGCUUUUUAAGUCGGAUGUGAAAUCCCCGAGCUUAACUUGGGAAUUGCAUUCGAUACUGGGAAGCUAGAGUAUGGGAGAGGAUGGUAGAAUACCAGGUGUAGCGGUGAAAUGCGUAGAGAUCUGGAGGAAUACCGAUGGCGAAGGCAGCCAUCUGGCCUAAUACUGACGCUGAGGUACGAAAGCAUGGGGAGCAAACAGG